AACGAACGCUGGCGGCAGGCCUAACACAUGCAAGUCGAGCGCGCCUUCGGGUGAGCGGCGGACGGGUUAGUAACGCGUGGGAACGUACCCUUCUCUACGGAAUAGCCUUUGGAAACGAAGAGUAAUACCGUAUACGCCCUUUGGGGGAAAGAUUUAUCGGAGAAGGAUCGGCCCGCGUUAGAUUAGAUAGUUGGUGGGGUAACGGCCUACCAAGUCUACGAUCUAUAGCUGGUUUUAGAGGAUGAUCAGCAACACUGGGACUGAGACACGGCCCAGACUCCUACGGGAGGCAGCAGUGGGGAAUCUUAGACAAUGGGCGCAAGCCUGAUCUAGCCAUGCCGCGUGAGUGAUGAAGGCCUUAGGGUCGUAAAGCUCUUUCGCCUGUGAUGAUAAUGACAGUAGCAGGUAAAGAAACCCCGGCUAACUCCGUG
This 431-nucleotide ribosomal RNA is filed under the name uncultured bacterium. Its description in RNAcentral is "bacterial SSU rRNA". It matches the Rfam family "Bacterial small subunit ribosomal RNA", at positions 29 to 507 of the family's 1533-position model. The record is from RNAcentral.